This is a non-coding RNA of Oncorhynchus mykiss (rainbow trout), 3331 nucleotides long. The record is from RefSeq and is a predicted model, not a curated record. NCBI's taxonomy places the organism in Eukaryota, Metazoa, Chordata, Actinopteri, Salmoniformes, Salmonidae.
CCAAGUCUCCCCCAGUCUCUCUCCCAAGUUUUCCCCAGUCUCUCUCCCAAGUCUCCCCCAGUCUCUCUCCCAAGUCUCCCCCAGUCUCUCUCCCAAGUCUCCCCCAGUCCUACCCCAGUUUUCCACAUAUCCCACCAUGUUCUAGCAAACACCCUCCAGACCUCUCAGCUUGCUUCCUAGCACAAACAUUGAACCUUUCUUUGGCCCAAUAUCUUUCCUGCUAACCCCCACCCCACCCCCCUGUAGCCUAUUCUGUUAACUCACUAACUCACUAGCUAACCCUACCCUACAGUAGCACCUUCUCUGUCUGUUAUACCUGCCCUGAGAGCCCCAAAGAAUCUCAGAAUUUAUAACAGAUAACUCGCUGACAUUUUUCUAUUAAUUUUCUUUCCUGUUUUUGAGAUGGUUACUACAGAUUUUGGAUACAGGGGUGCUGAUGUUACUGCCCUGCCAUAUUGUGCUCAGCGUGUAUCACACACGAUGCGACAGGAUCCUCCAAGACACUAUUCAAUUCUUAUAUCCUAUAAAUAAAACAAUCACAUGUAUAUUUUACAGCAAUCAAUUUAUCAUUAUGACGAUAGCAGAGGAACAUAGUAAAAGUGAUGGCAUGACUUCGUACAGAUGGCAGUAGUGCUUGCAGUGUGGUGGUUUGAAUAGUUUUGUAAAUCUUCGAGAGAAUGCGGCCAUUAGAGUAGAGCAAGCUUCAAGAUGUGAUAAAUGAAUGAUUGUGAGAAAAGGGGGUAAGAUAAAAUUUUCCACACAGCAUGUGUAAAAAAGGUUGUAAGUUCAGGAGACACUGAAAUCGAAAACUCUGUCUGUCCAGAGUGUAUAUAGAAAACAGUUUGUCAUUCUGCUCAUAAUCAUGACUGAGCUAGAUCAGGUAUUUUCUGAAAACACAGAGGUUGCAAAAUAAUUGUAACUUUCCCAAUAAUCUCAGGUUUUCUAGAAAUACUGAGCGGAGGAUUCACAAAUUUCUUCUGAUCCCAGGAAUCUUCCUACCAGGAUUUCCAGAAAUGCUGGGAAUUUAGGGAGUUACUGGGAGAUUUCACGCCAGGAUAGACCAAAAAUAUUUUGGGCUUCUCAGAUUGUUCUUGCAAUUCUCAAAUAAAAACUUAAUUGGAGGGAGGAUGUUUGACAUGCUUUUAUAAUUUGAAUAACUUUUUAGACCUUCAUGCCUCCUGUAAGACCCUAUGACCUGUGACCUGUGACCUGUGAAACGCACUCGAUGCAGACAACACCUUGGUGUCAUCAUACUCCUCAUAGUGUGCUGUAGCAUAUAGAGGUUGUCUAGAUUCUGAAAUACAAUUUGUCACAUUCAUUUAUUCAACAUUAAACAUAUGAAUAUCCUUUUAGAUUUUGUUUAUUUUAAGACAUAUUGUUUGGAACAAUAUACUCUACAAGUACAUCACAUUUCCAGAGUGGGCUCUCUGCAAAUGUUUAAGUUCUGCUAUAUUUUAUGAGCAUCAACAACACAGUGAAUGGGAAAAUGUAUUCUGGUGAUUUGCUGAAUGUGCAAUCCUAAAGAAGGGCUGUGAUUGGUUAAUGACCUAUGAUGUCAAAUUCUAUAUAUAAAAUGGGUCAUAUCUUCAAAAGUACCAGAGAGCCACUCUGGAAAUGUCACGUGUUUGAAAAGUAUAUUGUUCCAAACUAUAUGGCAAAAAAUAAUUUAAAUAAAAAUAUAUGAACUUUUGAGAUAUGAACAUGUAUAUUUUUAUGUUUUAGAGCACACAAGGAGUAUAAUGACACAAAGACCAUGUAAGGUUCACAGAUUACAGGCAGGUAUAUUUUUAUGUUUUAGACACAAGGAGUAUAACGACACAAAGACCAUGUAAGGUUCACAGAUUACAGGCAGGUAUAUUUUUAUGUUUUAGACACAAGGAGUAUAACGACACAAAGACCAUGUAAGGUUCACAGAUUACAGGCAGGUAUAUUUUUAUGUUUUAGACACAAGGAGUAUAAUGACACAAAGACCAUGUAAGGUUCACAGAUUACAGGCAGGUAUAUUUUUAUGUUUUAGACACAAGGAGUAUAAUGACACAAAGACCAUGUAAGGUUCACAGAUUACAGGCAGGUAUAUUUUUAUGUUUUAGACACAAGGAGUAUAAUGACACAAAGACCAUGUAAGGUUCACAGAUUACAGGCAGGUAUAUUUUUAUGUUUUAGACACAAGGAGUAUAAUGACACAAAGACCAUGUAAGGUUCACAGAUUACAGGCAGGUAUAUUUUUUUUAAUGGCCUAAAAAUAAAUGGUGAUACAAAUGUGAAAAGCUUGUGAAGCAUCCAUUUUCCCAAUGAUGUUUCUAUGUGAGAAAUGAUGUUUCUAUGUGAGAAAUGAUGUUUCUAUGUGAGAAUUGAUGUUUCUAUGUGAGAAUUGGCAGAAGAAUCUGAGAUAACAAAAAUCUUGGCAUGGAAUCGCCCUACUAGAAUUUUGCAAGCCUACACAGGAACGUUAUGGAAUAUUCAAAAGACACCUGACGCUGGUCUUUUCAUGGUCUUUACCAUGGUCUUUUCAUGGUCUUUACCAUGGUCUUUUCAUGGUCUUUACCAUGGUCUUUACCAUGGUCUUUACCAUGGUCUUUUCAUGGUCUUUACCAUGGUCUUUUCAUGGUCUUUACCAUGGCCUUUUCAUGCGUCUUAUUUUGUGUAGAUUAAAGGGGACAUUUGUUAAUCAUUGUGGAAAAAAAUAGGUUGUUGAUAUGAAAAAUAUAUAAAAAAAGAAGACAUGGAUGAAUUGAAAGAAGAUGUUUAUGGAUGGAUUGAUGCUGCCACUGACUGUGGUACAGCGCAGCCUGCAUUGGGACAAUAAGCCUACUGCUCAAAACCAGAAACAGAGAGAGAAGGAAACUACAUCUUAGAAAAGCAAGAAGGAAAAGGACUUCGAGGACGCAACAACAGCCAGAGAGAGAGACUCACACUAUGGACUAAACUACCCGUCGGGUGGUAAAAUCUCUGGUUCUCACUAUCACUUAGAAAUAUGUCUCUUUUUAGUACGGUUCCCUAGUUACCAGGUAUUUACUUAUGUAUUCAAAUCUAACAUAAUUUAACAAAAUAAUGGUGGUAAAAUGGCUGUAGUGAAAAAAUGUUCCAUUUUAAAAAGGAAAAGGUUUUAUUUGUUAUAAUUUGCUUCAAUUAUACUUUAUGGUAUGAUAUGAUACACCAAGAAUCGUACAUGCAGACAGAGCACAUUAACUCACUUUUCCUUUAAUCAGAAAAACAUUCAUUUUUUUUACUUCUGCAGUUAUGUUUUUAACCAAUACAACUAUAAGUAGUUCUGUUUUUAUUGUUUUGCAAAAAAUAAAUAAAUAAAAUAUACUAGAAAUGUAUAUUAAAA